Molecule: long non-coding RNA, 1145 nt
Organism: Daphnia pulex (common water flea)
Lineage: Eukaryota; Metazoa; Arthropoda; Branchiopoda; Diplostraca; Daphniidae
Exons: 3
Source: RefSeq, a predicted model, not a curated record
CUACACCACGGCCUACACUACACCGCAGCCUCCAAAUACUACACCGAAGACGCCGCCUACAACAACGUAUGCUGCCUAGUUUACUACACCGAGGCUCCCAAGUACUACAUCACUAAGGCGUCGGAAUUCUACACGUCUAUGUAUGCUGCCCCUGCCUACUCCACCGAGGCCCCGUAUUACUACAACACUGAAGCGCUCAAGCACUACACUACAACCUGCGAUGCCCCGAGCUGCUACACCUACGUCCCGGAGUAUUACUGUGCGUAAAAGGAGUCGUAAGAAAAAAGAAGUGCCCGAACUGCAGUGCCCUAUCUGUCACCAACUGCAUUCCUCAUCGUGUAACCGAAUCGCAAUUAUGGUCAAGUAUGGCGUCGUGCUGCUGUUGGGUGUUGUAUCGUUGAUGGCUGGGUUGACUGCUGGUGUAGCUAUGUGUCCUUGGUAUGGCGGAAACUGAACCGCAACGCCGCCGCCUUCCUACACAACUAACGCAACAACCAGUUCCUGCGCCGAUGUCUUCAAGUACUACACCACUAAAGCACCGGAGUUUUAUAGCACAACUUACGCUGCCCCGAGCCACUACACUGACGCCAUGAAGUUUUACUCUGCCCCGAGUUACUACACCACCAAGGCGACGUAGCAUGACUAAGCAUGCUGCCACAUCCUACUACACCGAGGCUUCUAACUGCUACACCGAGGCUCCCGCUGAUUUCUCCACCAAGACGGUCGAAUACUACACCGAAGCGGCAAAGUACUUUUCUGCCCCGAUCUACACAACCACAACUGAGGCGGCCAAGUAUUACGCAGUCCCGACUUGCUACACACAGGCCGCUCUUUCGUGCUACGUUGAACAGAAAUACUACAGUGAUGCUCCAGUCUACUACACCACGACCCACGCAACACCUAGCUUCAACACCGCAGCCCCCAAGUACUACACCGAAGAAGCCGCCUAUUACACAACUACGUACGCUGCCUAGUUUACUACAUCGACGAAUUUAAGUAUUGCCCUGCUCCAAACUACCAAACUUAGGUUCAUAUGUAUUGCAAUUUUCAUGACUAUCACCACUGCUCCGACCUACCUAAGUUCUGAAGUAUUUCUCUGUAUUUGUGAAGAUUGCUGAAAUACAAGAUUGAUUUUUAAAUCACAA